UACAGCUAAGGUCCCAAAGUGUGUGUUAAGUGGUAAAGGAUGUGGGAUUUCAUAGACAACUAGGAUGUUGGCUCAGAAGCAGCCAUACAUUCAAAGAGUGCGUAACAGCUCACUAGUCGAGAGGUCCUGCGCCGAAAAUGUCCGGGGCUAAAACACAACACCGAAGCUUAGGAAUUAACUAAUGUUAAUUGGUAGAGGAGCAUUCUUGCGUACGACGAAGCUGUACUGAAAAGAGCAGUGGAGGAACAAGAAGAGAGAAUGCCGGAAUGAGUAGCGAGAUGAAGGUGAGAAUCCUUCAGGCCGAAUAUCUAAGGUUUCCAGAGUAAAGCUGAUCUGCUCUGGGUAAGUCGGGGCCUAAGGCGAGGUCGAAAGACGUAGUCGAUGGAUAACAGGUUGAGAUUCCUGUACUGCAAUAAAUCAGAACUGUGGGGACGCAUGGAUAAAACUUAAGCCAGGAAUGGAAAGACUGGUGCAAGCGAAAGAGUGGUUAGGUUGGCAAAUCCGCCUAGCAACACAAGAGCGUGAUGCGUAUCGAACUUUUAGUAGAGAAGUAAGUAGAGUCUGUGCCGAGAAAAGCCGCUAUUGUAUUUAUUGUACCCGUACCGUAAACCGACACAGGUGGAUGAGGAGAGAAUCCUAAGGCCGACGGAAGAAGCAUUGUUAAGGAAUUCGGCAAAAUGACCCCGUAACUUCGGGAGAAGGGGUGCCUACUUCGGUAGGCCGCAGAGAAUAGGCUCAAGCAACUGUUUAGCAAAAACACAGGUCUAUGCGAAACCGUAAGGUGAUGUAUAUGGGCUGACGCCU
This 804-nucleotide non-coding RNA is filed under the name Anaerovibrio lipolyticus. Its description in RNAcentral is "Bacterial large subunit ribosomal RNA". It matches the Rfam family "Bacterial large subunit ribosomal RNA", at positions 1034 to 1860 of the family's 2925-position model. The record is from Rfam by way of RNAcentral. Lineage: Bacteria; Bacillati; Bacillota; Negativicutes; Selenomonadales; Selenomonadaceae.